AAAAACUCAAAAUUAAUUAAGUUGUUCGUGUCAUCUUACAGGGACGUGUUUUUUAAAAAAUUAAGGCAUAAAACGCCCAGAAAAUGUCAAACCAAACCGGAGAAAUUAGUUCAAAAUAUACAGUUCAAAGACAUCAGGACAACAUUCAUCGGUGAGCUGAAACUGCACCGCCAACCAAUCAUCAGAAGCCCCUACAACAACUUAUACAGUCAAGACGCAACCUAUGGUUAUUCGAGUACGUCUGUUUUUCCCGCCAAAAUUCGGCCUCAGGCGAGAUUAUGAGUAAAUUAUCGAGAUAUUUGCGAGUUGAUAAUCGUCUUUUUCCUCCAUAAAAUAGUUGAGAUUAGACUUGCAGAAAUCUGUAUACAUCAUCAGUGGGUGGUGUCUCGUGAGCUUCUUUAUCUAUUGAGGAAAACUUGGAUUGGACAUCGAAUAAACCUGAGCAGUUAUUGGAUUAUCCGACACUUGAAGUGUUUGAACUCGUGUGAUAUAAAGCUGGCUGUCUUUAGGCAUGGACCAUUUAGGAUAAAGAGAAAGCAGCGUUGCCAAGUUCACCACCAAGGACGCCCAUGCUGCGACCAAGCCCAAAGCCCCCAUUUUUUAUGCUGGUCGUGAAAAUUGCGAACGGGGAUAGGGCAAUCAUCGUGGGGUAAUCAAUGAGGACAGAGUCGGUGCGGGUUAUGUGACUGGUAUUCUCAAAUCAAAACCAAACAAAGAGCACUCAAGUUACACUUGAGCCAGCUUCGAAAAUCGGUCACAGAGCAUAGUUUGCCAAUAUAUUAGUGUUGUCGACUCAGUUCGGCGUUCAAUGUAAAUAAAAAAAAACAACCCGUUGUUACCCUUCUCUAGGCGACCCAGUGAAAAUCCGGUUCUAACUGCUCCCAGAUCUUGGCUUCAGCCUGAUUAAUCACACGGAGAUCGAACAACGCAGUAUAAAGGUGUCCUAUUCACUUUUCCAGAAUUCACUGUAGCACACACACGCCUGCAUUCACAGUGUUCUUAAUCGUCGUGGAAAAUCAUUCUCAGAAGGUAAAAAAAUAAACUGAAAAAUUUUAUGCAACUUUUUGCCUUUGGUGUGCGCUUCCUUGAUGAUUUUACAAAUGUAUAAAAAUUGAAGCAUAUUUCUCUCUUUCAAAGAUUUUGAACUAUUUAAUUCCACGAAAAAAUAUGGAUUUUGCUGGUAGUAAUCAGUGACCCCA
RNAcentral lists this long non-coding RNA (1199 nucleotides) under Bemisia tabaci. RNAcentral's name for it is "lncRNA ENSASIAIIG001829". Lineage: Eukaryota; Metazoa; Arthropoda; Insecta; Hemiptera; Aleyrodidae. The record is from RNAcentral.